GCAAGAGAGACGAACAGACCAGAUCUGAGGCUCUCAGAUGCACCAGCAGGUCCUGCAUUAGCUUUCUUGGGUCAUGCCUGCCUGCCUGCCUGCCUGUUUUCUGAGGAGGAAGGGCUUUUUUUGACAGGUACCGCUGGGGCACCUGCUUCCCUCUUAUUGAGACUUCAACUGCUCCCUGUGCUUGAAUUUGUGACGUUAUGUUCUUGGGAGCAGUGCCCACCGCAGGGGUGAAGUCAGCUACUGGAAGGUGUUUCAGGUAACUCACCAAAUACACUGAAGUCCUCCAGACAGAUGACAUGAGAGGAGGGAAGGAUAAUGAGAGGAAAAAUGAAAAACAAGAGAGAUGAGGAUUAUCACGUCCCCUGGAAUCACUGUACCCAUUAGACUUUGCAACCAGUGUGCUCAGCCCUGCGUGUGGGCCUUCCAGAUCUGGUGAGAAGUUUUGAGUGGAGCCAGAGGCUCAGCUGUCUUUCCAGCCUGCGGGGUCAACAGUCGGAGAGUGUGGAAGGUGAGAGUCGGCACAGGAGGAAACAGGGUAGCCGGUGAUAGUGUCUGGAUCAGCAUCACAAAAGAGGAGGGAAUAGAUGAGGACACCAGCGAUCUGAAACCA
Molecule: long non-coding RNA, 610 nt
Organism: Apteryx owenii (little spotted kiwi)
Lineage: Eukaryota; Metazoa; Chordata; Aves; Apterygiformes; Apterygidae
Source: Ensembl